RNAcentral lists this ribosomal RNA (253 nucleotides) under uncultured bacterium. RNAcentral's name for it is "partial 16S ribosomal RNA". It matches the Rfam family "Bacterial small subunit ribosomal RNA", at positions 524 to 776 of the family's 1533-position model. The record is from RNAcentral.
UACGUAGGGGCCAAGCGUUGUUCGGAUUUACUGGGCGUAAAGGGCGCGUAGGCGGCUUGACAAGUCACUUGUGAAAUCUCCGGGCUUAACUCGGAACGGCCAAGUGAAACUGUCAUGCUAGAGUGCAGAAGGGGCAAUCGGAAUUCUUGGUGUAGCGGUGAAAUGCGUAGAUAUCAAGAGGAACACCUGAGGUGAAGACGGGUUGCUGGGCUGACACUGACGCUGAGGCGCGAAAGCCAGGGGAGCAAACGGG